GAUGAACGCUGGCGGCGUGCCUAAUACAUGCAAGUCGAGCGAACGGAGGAGAAGCUUGCUUCUCUGAUGUUAGCGGCGGACGGGUGAGUAACACGUGGAUAACCUACCUAUAAGACUGGGAUAACUUCGGGAAACCGGAGCUAAUACCGGAUGAUAUUUUGAACCGCAUGGUUCAAAAGUGAAAGACGGUGUUGCUGUCACUUAUAGAUGGAUCCGCGCUGCAUUAGCUAGUUGGUAAGGUAACGGCUUACCAAGGCAACGAUGCAUAGCCGACCUGAGAGGGUGAUCGGCCACACUGGAACUGAGACACGGUCCAGACUCCUACGGGAGGCCGCAGUAGGGAAUCUUCCGCAAUGGGCGAAAGCCUGACGGAGCAACGCCGCGUGAGUGAUGAAGGUCUUCGGAUCGUAAAACUCUGUUAUUAGGGAAGAACAUAUGUGUAAGUAACUGUGCACAUCUUGACGGUACCUAAUCAGAAAGCCACGGCUAACUACGUG
Molecule: ribosomal RNA, 497 nt
Filed under: uncultured bacterium
Lineage: Bacteria
Description: partial 16S ribosomal RNA
Rfam family: Bacterial small subunit ribosomal RNA
Source: RNAcentral